RNAcentral lists this ribosomal RNA (253 nucleotides) under uncultured bacterium. Its description in RNAcentral is "partial 16S ribosomal RNA". It matches the Rfam family "Bacterial small subunit ribosomal RNA", at positions 524 to 776 of the family's 1533-position model. The record is from RNAcentral.
UACGUGGGGGGCAAGCGUUGUUCGGAAUUACUGGGCGUAAAGGGCUCGUAGGCGGCCAACUAAGUCGGACGUGAAAUCCCUCGGCUUAACCGGGGAACUGCGUCCGAUACUGGAUGGCUUGAGAUUGGGAGAGGGAUGCGGAAUUCCAGGUGUAGCGGUGAAAUGCGUAGAUAUCUGGAGGAACACCGGUGGCGAAGGCGGCAUCCUGGACCAACACUGACGCUGAUGAGCGAAAGCCAGGGGAGCAAACGGG